Molecule: long non-coding RNA, 679 nt
Filed under: Anas platyrhynchos platyrhynchos (common mallard)
Lineage: Eukaryota; Metazoa; Chordata; Aves; Anseriformes; Anatidae
Description: lncRNA (ENSAPLG00000028922.1)
Source: RNAcentral
AAGGAGGGGCAGGCGCGGGGCAUCCCCCGCCGCCCCGCUCCGCUCCGCUCCCUCCCCCCGCGGCCGCCCGUGCGUGCCGGGCAGCGGGGGAGGCUCCGGGCGCCGCCGCCGCCGCCUUGGCGUAAUGGCGAACCCGGCGGAUAUUUCAAACUGCUAAGUACUCCACAGUUGUCUCCAUAUUGGAAGCUGUUCAAGGAAGCUGGCCUGAAGAGUCUCUAAUGAUGAGGUGCUCAUCUGGCCAUAAAGAGCAUCUCUGAACUCAAUUCUUCAUUAAAGAGAUGUGUUCUGUAUUCACGGGUAAGGAGUUUCAUCUUAACUUGCAUGCUUUUAUGUAGUAUCUUGUGGUAUAUUGUUAAUUUCUAAGAUUUUAGCAACUGGUGUUGUACAGGUUCAUCGGUUACUCAGUAUAGAGCUCCUUAGGUGCAUGUAUGGGCUCUUAAUUUUGACCCAAGCUAUUCAUGCAACUUAGGAGUUCUAAUACCUAAAUAUCAGUGGUCUGGCUUUCAUAUUACAUUAACUUUUGGUUAGAUAGUGGGACAGAGUUUUUGUAUAUAGGUGAACAAUAAUUCUAAAUAAUUACGAUUUGGUCAGUGAGUUUUGAUUCCUUUUUGGAUAUAUACAACAGUUCUACUGGCUUUCAUUAGACAUUUACCAUGCAUCUGUUGAAUUUGGAGCUCUA